CAGAGCGUAGCUAAAUGUAAAGCAUCCCGCUUACACUGGGAAAUCACCCGUGCAAACCGGGUCGCUCUGA
This 70-nucleotide transfer RNA is filed under the name Taeniacara candidi. RNAcentral's name for it is "tRNA-Val". It matches the Rfam family "tRNA". Rfam says of the family: Transfer RNA (tRNA) molecules are approximately 80 nucleotides in length. Their secondary structure includes four short double-helical elements and three loops (D, anti-codon, and T loops). Further hydrogen bonds mediate the characteristic L-shaped molecular structure. tRNAs have two regions of fundamental functional importance: the anti-codon, which is responsible for specific mRNA codon recognition, and the 3' end, to which the tRNAs corresponding amino acid is attached (by aminoacyl-tRNA synthetases). tRNAs cope with the degeneracy of the genetic code in two manners: having more than one tRNA (with a specific anti-codon) for a particular amino acid; and 'wobble' base-pairing, i.e. permitting non-standard base-pairing at the 3rd anti-codon position. Lineage: Eukaryota; Metazoa; Chordata; Actinopteri; Cichliformes; Cichlidae. The record is from RNAcentral.